RNAcentral lists this unclassified non-coding RNA (394 nucleotides) under soil metagenome. Its description in RNAcentral is "partial contains 5.8S ribosomal RNA, internal transcribed spacer 2, and large subunit ribosomal RNA". The stretch from base 1 to 121 matches the Rfam family "5.8S ribosomal RNA", at positions 35 to 154 of the family's 154-position model. The record is from RNAcentral.
GAUGAAGAACGUAGCGAAAUGCGAUACUUGGUGUAAUUGCAGAAUCCCGUGAACCAUCGAGUCUUUGAACGCAAGUUGCGCCCGAAGCCAUCAGGUUGAGGGCACGUCUGCCUGGGCGUCACAUAUCGUUGCCCAAUGCCUAUUGCAGUGCAAUAGGAAUUUCUAGGGCGAAUGAUGGCUUCCCGUGAGCGUUGUUGCCUCGCGGUUGGUUGAAAAUCGAGUCCUUGGUAGGGUGUGCCAUGGUAGAUGGUGGUCGAGUUAGAACGAUACCGAUCAUGUGCAUGCUCCCCAAAAUAUGGCCUCUAUGACCCACACGCGUCUUUUGACGCUCAUGACGAGACCUCAGGUCAGGCGGGGCUACCCGCUGAAUUUAAGCAUAUCAAUAAGCGGAGGA